This 199-nucleotide ribosomal RNA is filed under the name uncultured bacterium. RNAcentral's name for it is "partial 16S ribosomal RNA". It matches the Rfam family "Bacterial small subunit ribosomal RNA", at positions 328 to 539 of the family's 1533-position model. The record is from RNAcentral.
ACGCUCGACACCUACGGGAGCAGCAGUGGGGAAUAUUGGGCAAUGGGCGCAAGCCUGACCCAGCAACGCCGCGUGAAGGAAGAAGGCUUUCGGGUUGUAAACUUCUUUUAUUAAGGACGAAGCAAUGACGGUACUUAAUGAAUAAGCUCCGGCUAACUACGUGCCAGUAGCCGCGGUAAUCUGAGCGGGCUGGCAAGGC